UCCACCCACUGGAAUUUCAACUCCCAAUUCCCUACGACCUCCUGGUAUUUCCAGCUGCUCAGCCAUGGAGGACAGUGUAACGAGUGAGGCAGCUCAGUUGCAACACUUUUCAGGCUAAAAAAGCCUUGUUCUUCAGCCAAGACAGCAACACCGAGCGUUGAGCACCGGAGCAAUCCCAGAAGUGAAACAUCGUGGAUAUAGAUUACAGCUGUCUGUGACUUAAACUGCUCACAGCCUCCAAUGGGUAAAAGUCAAAGAUCAUGGACCAUGAGGUAACAGGGGGCUGAUGUUGGCUGAGAAGCAGGGUACACCUGGACAGCUCUGCCUCAAGUUGUUGGACAGACAGACAGACAGACAGACAGACGGAUAGAUGGAUGGAUCAGUGGACCAACAUCGCCACCUCUGGGCCCUGCAGUGAUCAUUUUAUCACACAACUGAUCAGUGCUCCUGCUUUCUAGAAAAUAAUAUGUUUUUAUCACAUUAAACUGGAAAGAAUGUGUGUACAGACUAGAUGC
Long non-coding RNA from Perca fluviatilis (European perch), 515 nucleotides. RefSeq lists it as uncharacterized. The transcript is spliced from 4 exons. The record is from RefSeq and is a predicted model, not a curated record. NCBI's taxonomy places the organism in Eukaryota, Metazoa, Chordata, Actinopteri, Perciformes, Percidae.